AGAGCGGCCGUUCCAGAACAUCCUGUGCCUUAAAAGCCAUAAAAGGCUUAAGUAUGGAGCGGUGAUGCUGGGAGCCCGCACGCACACGCGGCUGCCGCUCCGAGGAGGAGAGCAGAUGGGGAAACACCCUCCUCCGUGACCGUCCUACAUCUUCCAGAGGGGGAACAGCAGCGCCGCUGGAUUUAUGGGGAUUUUUUUUCCCCCCUCCCACGCAGCGUUCCCAGCCCCGGCUGCUCCCGGCGCCGCUCGCAUCCCUGGAGGCGCUCGGAAGGGGAUGCUCGGAGGGCACCGGGCAUUUUUGGGGUGAAGUCGCGGCGGGUUCGUGGCCAUGCUCCGCCCGGACUCGGUUUCCCCGGAGCUGAUCGGGCUCUGCAUGAGCUUCUGAGGCAGGUCUGGAUCUGUGGGAUUAGUGGAGAUGGAAUGAAAGCAUAACCCACCCCCC
RNAcentral lists this long non-coding RNA (442 nucleotides) under Manacus vitellinus (golden-collared manakin). RNAcentral describes it as "lncRNA (ENSMVIG00005017724.1)". Lineage: Eukaryota; Metazoa; Chordata; Aves; Passeriformes; Pipridae. The record is from RNAcentral.